CCUACGGGAGGCUGCAGUGAGGAAUAUUGGUCAAUGGGCGAGAGCCUGAACCAGCCAAGUCGCGUGAGGGAGUACUGCCCUAUGGGUUGUAAACCUCUUUUGUCGGGGAGCAAAAGCCGGACGUGUCCGGCUGUGAGAGUACCCGAAGAAAAAGCAUCGGCAAACUCCGUGCCAGCAGCCGCGGUAAUACGGAGGAUGCGAGCGUUAUCCGGAUUUAUUGGGUUUAAAGGGUGCGCAGGCGGAGUUUUAAGUCAGCGGUAAAAUCGUGGGGCUCAACCCCAUCCAGCCGUUGAAACUGGGGAUCUAGAGUGUGCGAGAGGUAUGCGGAAUGCGUGGUGUAGCGGUGAAAUGCAUAGAUAUCACGCAGAACCCCGAUUGCGAAGGCAGCAUACCGGUGCACAACUGACGCUCAGGCACGAAAGCGUGGGUAUCGAACAGGAUUAGAUACCCGAGUAGUC
Molecule: ribosomal RNA, 458 nt
Filed under: uncultured bacterium
Lineage: Bacteria
Description: partial 16S ribosomal RNA
Rfam family: Bacterial small subunit ribosomal RNA
Source: RNAcentral